UAUCUCUGUAGAGUCUGCAUAUCAAUAAGCGGAGGAAAAGAAACUAACUAGGAUUCCCUCAGUAACGGCGAGUGAAGCGGGAAGAGCUCAAAUUUGAAGUCUUCAAGGUUCUACCUUGACGAAUUGUAGUUUAAAGAAGUGUUUUCUGUUGGAGUUUUGGUAAAAGUUCUUUGGAAUAGGACAUCAUAGAGGGUGAGGAUCCCGUAUUUGACCAUUAUUUCCAGCUUUGUGAUACACUUUCAAAGAGUCGGAUUGUUUGGGAAUGCAGUCCAAAAUGGGUGGUAAAUUUCAUCUAAAGCUAAAUAUUGGCGAGAGACCGAUAGCGAACAAGUACCGUGAGGGAAAGAUGAAAAGAACUUUGAAAAGAGAGUUAAACAGUACGUGAAAUUGUCAAAAGGGAAGCGUUUGACACCAGUGUUGUUUCUACGAAAAUCAAUUUAUGAUGGCUUGAUGCUAAGCUUUAAGACUUUAUCCGCUUGUUGUUUAGUUUUCUUGUCUUUGUGAAUGCACUUUUCGUGGAACAAGUCAACAUCAAUUUCUUUUGCUGUAAAAGGGUAAGAGGAAGGUGGCUUCGGCUUCGGUUGAAGUGUUUAUAGCCUUUUAUCUCUGCAGUCGGAGAGAUUGAGGUCUGCAGCGUAGACUCUUCGGGGUUAGAUACGUCGGUGCUAAGCUAUAGCUUUUCAUAGACAACUUGUUGACUAUGUUUAGUCAUGUGGCUUACCCGCUGGCGCUAUUUUACCUACGCUUAGGAUGUUGAGUCAUCACACAUCUCU
Molecule: ribosomal RNA, 773 nt
Filed under: uncultured Neocallimastigales
Lineage: Eukaryota; Fungi; Neocallimastigomycota; Neocallimastigomycetes; Neocallimastigales
Description: partial large subunit ribosomal RNA
Rfam family: Eukaryotic large subunit ribosomal RNA
Source: RNAcentral